CCUACGGGAGGCAGCAGUGAGGAAUAUUGGUCAAUGGUCGGGAGACUGAACCAGCCAAGCCGCGUGAGGGAGGAAGGUACAGAGUAUCGUAAACCUCUUUUGUCAGGGAACAAAGACUGGGACGCGUCCCCGGAUGAGUGUACCUGAAGAAAAAGCAUCGGCUAACUCCGUGCCAGCAGCCGCGGUAAUACGGAGGUUGCGAGCGUUAUCCGGAUUUGUUGGGUUUAAAGGGUGCGCGAGCGGUCUGUUAAGUCAGCGGUCAAAGCCCGGGGCUCAACCCCGGCCCGCCGUUGAAACUGGCAGUCUCGAGUUGGAGAGAAGUAUGCGGAAUGCGCGGUGUAGCGGUGAAAUGCAUAGAUAUCGCGAAGAACUCCGAUUGCGAAGGCAGCAUGCCGGCUCCACACUGACGCUGAGGCACGAAAGCGUGGGUAUCGAACAGGAUUAGAUACCCCUGUAGUC
RNAcentral lists this ribosomal RNA (459 nucleotides) under uncultured bacterium. RNAcentral's name for it is "partial 16S ribosomal RNA". It matches the Rfam family "Bacterial small subunit ribosomal RNA", at positions 338 to 795 of the family's 1533-position model. The record is from RNAcentral.